Long non-coding RNA from Vicia villosa (hairy vetch), 224 nucleotides. RefSeq lists it as uncharacterized. The record is from RefSeq and is a predicted model, not a curated record. NCBI's taxonomy places the organism in Eukaryota, Viridiplantae, Streptophyta, Magnoliopsida, Fabales, Fabaceae. The transcript is spliced from 3 exons.
CGACGAGUGUGGUUGUGAACGAUUUUGAAUGAAUGGGUUAAAUUUGUUGAAGAUCUAUGAAGAUGAUGACGAAAGAUGCGAUUCUGAAUCUCGGAUCCGACCCUUCCAUGGGAUUAGGGUUUCAGAGAUCUCGGUCGCAAGUUCUUUUUCAAUAUGGAACUUUUUGUGGUGGUUAUGCGGAAUGGUUAGCAGAAUUUUAUGGGAAGUGGCGGUUCGAGUCGGUG